UACGUAGGGUGCGAGCGUUGUCCGGAAUUAUUGGGCGUAAAGAGCUCGUAGGCGGUCUGUCGCGUCGAUCGUGAAAACUUGGGGCUUAACCCUGAGCUUGCGGUCGAUACGGGCAUGACUGGAGUUCGGCAGGGGAGACUGGAAUUCCUGGUGUAGCGGUGAAAUGCGUAGAGAUCGGCAGGAACACCCAGGGGGAAAGCAGCUGCCUGGGCAAGCGCUGACGCUGAGGUGCGAGAGCGUGGGGAGCGAACCGG
RNAcentral lists this ribosomal RNA (254 nucleotides) under uncultured bacterium. Its description in RNAcentral is "partial 16S ribosomal RNA". It matches the Rfam family "Bacterial small subunit ribosomal RNA", at positions 524 to 776 of the family's 1533-position model. The record is from RNAcentral.